This 465-nucleotide ribosomal RNA is filed under the name Vreelandella stevensii. Its description in RNAcentral is "partial 16S ribosomal RNA". It matches the Rfam family "Bacterial small subunit ribosomal RNA", at positions 338 to 795 of the family's 1533-position model. Lineage: Bacteria; Pseudomonadati; Pseudomonadota; Gammaproteobacteria; Oceanospirillales; Halomonadaceae. The record is from RNAcentral.
CCUACGGGGUGCAGCAGUGGGGAAUAUUGGACAAUGGGCGAAAGCCUGAUCCAGCCAUGCCGCGUGUGUGAAGAAGGCCUUCGGGUUGUAAAGCACUUUCAGUGGGGAAGAAAGCCUUGGGGCUAAUACCCUCGAGGAAGGACAUCACCCACAGAAGAAGCACCGGCUAACUCCGUGCCAGCAGCCGCGGUAAUACGGAGGGUGCGAGCGUUAAUCGGAAUUACUGGGCGUAAAGCGCGCGUAGGCGGUCUGAUAAGCCGGUUGUGAAAGCCCCGGGCUCAACCUGGGAACGGCAUCCGGAACUGUCAGGCUAGAGUGCAGGAGAGGAAGGUAGAAUUCUCGGUGUAGCGGUGAAAUGCGUAGAGAUCGGGAGGAAUACCAGUGGCGAAGGCGGCCUUCUGGACUGACACUGACGCUGAGGUGCGAAAGCGUGGGUAGCAAACAGGAUUAGAUACCCGAGUAGUC